CCUACGGGUGGCUGCAGUGGGGAAUAUUGGACAAUGGGGGCAACCCUGAUCCAGCCAUGCCGCGUGUGUGAAGAAGGCCCUCGGGUUGUAAAGCACUUUCAGUGAGGAAGAACGCCUGGUGGUUAAUACCCAUCAGGAAAGACAUCACUCACAGAAGAAGCACCGGCUAACUCCGUGCCAGCAGCCGCGGUAAUACGGAGGGUGCGAGCGUUAAUCGGAAUUACUGGGCGUAAAGCGCGCGUAGGUGGCUUGAUAAGCCGGUUGUGAAAGCCCCGGGCUCAACCUGGGAAACGGCAUCCGGACCGGCAAGCUAGGAUGGCAGGGGGGGAGGGAGAAUUCCCGGGGGUGCGGUGAAAAGCGGUGAGGUCCGGAGGAAUACCAGUGGCGAAGGCGGCCUUCUGGACUGACACUGACACUGAGGUGCGAAAGCGUGGGUAGCAAACAGGAUUAGAUACCCUAGUAGUC
RNAcentral lists this ribosomal RNA (465 nucleotides) under Vreelandella stevensii. RNAcentral describes it as "partial 16S ribosomal RNA". It matches the Rfam family "Bacterial small subunit ribosomal RNA", at positions 338 to 795 of the family's 1533-position model. The record is from RNAcentral. Lineage: Bacteria; Pseudomonadati; Pseudomonadota; Gammaproteobacteria; Oceanospirillales; Halomonadaceae.